Molecule: non-coding RNA, 2148 nt
Organism: Lolium perenne
Lineage: Eukaryota; Viridiplantae; Streptophyta; Magnoliopsida; Poales; Poaceae
Source: RefSeq, a predicted model, not a curated record
UAAAGUUUUUUGUGUUGAUACUUUAUUUUGGAAGGCUUUUUAACUAUGAGACCACAAGGAAGUGGCUUUUGUGUAUGUACCAUUCCAAAUUUAUUCAUUAGUUUGAAUCUAUUCAGUGAUGAUUAUGUAUGAACUAAUUGUAGUUGGAUUAAAAUAGAUGUUUUAGCCAAAUUGUUCUUCGUAGGGUUCAUGGUUUUUGUAGCAUGAUGUCUGAAUUAAUGGUGAAUGAUUAAACAACUCAUGGUUUUUGUUGUUGAUUCCAUUAAAGUGGUGCUUCUUUAGGGCUUUAUGUAGAAAGAAUGGAAGCUGACCUGAUUCUUCGAUGGUGUUUAUCCCGACAUCUUGUUUAUUUUCUUGGUUUCUUAAGAUCAUCUUUUCUGAACAUUGGGUGAGAAGCUAGAAGAGAAUGGUACUGCGAAUAUUCAGGACAAAAGAGAAUAUAUGAGAAGCUAGAAGAGAAUGGUACUGCAUAUUGGGUGAAGAAGACUGCAUAUGCCUAUACUGGUUGAAUGUAGUGGUUAUCAAUCAUCCAUUUUUUUUGAAGUGCAACCCUCAUGCUCUGGCCUGUAGCAAGAAUAUAUAUAUGUGGAGCUAGGCUAAGAUUCUGAUAUUGCUGCCUUUUGAACUGCAGUACAAAUGCUCUCGUCCAUGGCAGGAAUAUAUAUGGAGCUAGGCCAAUAUUCAGAUAUUGAUGUCCAGGUCCCUGAGUUGUUUAAUGUUGAUUUUGCUCAGGCACGAUCCAUCUUAGGGAUCAACGAGAGGUGGCUCAAGCGAUACGGGAUGGUGACGAGCAGCGGCGACCACAGCAGACAGUGCAGCAAACUGGACAUGCUUUAGAAAUGGUGGUCAAGACAACACGUCUUGGGGAGUGGUGCGCCUGUCAAGCGACAGCGUCUGAUUCCGGCACAACAAGCUGAGCUUUUCCCAAAUCCUCUUUCUUUCUAUCUUUGUCUCUUUCCAUCAAGCUUGUGCGAUGUGCUAUACUUUCUCAUCUUUUAUUAGAUAAUUGUUGGCACUUUCAAGGACACAUUACACCUCCCUGUGGAAUUACUUGAUAUGUUGUGCAGCGUGAGAUCCAUUACACCCCAUGUGUACCCAUUACACUUUCAAGGGCUGCAUAUAGUGUUGUGAGCCUUCCCAGUGGCCUCCUUUUUAGUCUAUUGAUUUGAGGCUAUUGCUACCUACCGUGUAGUUUCAUGCAUAUGCUCUGACUUGUUCAAGACUUCUUUUUUCUUAUAUUGUUUUCAGCACUAUCACUCAAGUCUUAGGAUUUGACGACAUUAUUUCUAGCUGUUAGAUUGUACAACAUCUUUGUUAUGGAUUGUGAUACCCACACAAUACUGGAUUCAGUACACUAGCAACUACUCUUUUUGUCAUCUAUUAUGAUUUAGUUGAGAGUGAGGUCAACAUAUAUGCUGGAAAAGGACAACUUUGCAUGUAUUAACUUCUGGACUAUUGUAAUGUGCGUCAUCAGCCAGAGAAGGCGGGGAUCUGUGGAUGCCAAUGAGGGAAGCAGCCUGGCUCGGGCCGACCAUGGCGCUAGCGUUGCAGACUCGCCGCCAUCCUCCUUCGUCUCCCAUCCACAGCUGGCCCCAACCCUUCCUCUGAUGUGGUGCUAUGAGAGCAAGAAAAAGAGCAGACAUGCUCUGUAUCUACAUCCAACAUCCACACAGCCAGAUAAUGGUACUGCUCUAAAUAAUUCCUUUUGUUUAGAGCAAGGGUGAUGCAUGUAACCAUGUUACCUUAAAUUAUCUUCCUGUGUUAAUUGAAAAAAUUAUGUUCCCUGCUUACAUUUUCAAUGCAAACUUCUUGGUGGUUUGUCCAUUCCGCUGUUUGAAAAUUCAAAGCACUCCAUAUUAAUGCAUUCUGUAUCUUCUGAUGUGUUGGCUAUUAAACUAAGCAAUGACAUAUGUACUACACAUGCUUCUGGCAUAGUGUGAUUAAAACAUAGGUUAAUGCCGUACUUUUUUUUCGAAGAUUAGUCAUGCUAUUUUUGAUAGGUCUGUAUCUACAACUGGUACCGAUUUUUUUCCACAUUUUCAUUCUCCUGCCUUGUAAAGUGCUCUCUAUGUUAGUUAGGCAUAAAGUAGAUGCCCAAGAUAUAUUUAGAACAUGUUUGGUAAUGUGCAAUGUCUCCAUUCCAGGUUA